ACUCCUACGGGAGGCUGCAGUGGGGAAUAUUGCACAAUGGGCGAAAGCCUGAUGCAGCAACGCCGCGUGAGUGAUGAAGGCCUUCGGGUUGUAAAGCUCUGUCUUUGGGGACGAUAAUGACGGUACCCAAGGAGGAAGCCACGGCUAACUACGUGCCAGCAGCCGCGGUAAUACGUAGGUGGCAAGCGUUGUCCGGAUUUACUGGGCGUAAAGGAUGCGUAGGUGGAUAUUUAAGUGGGAUGUGAAAUAC
This 250-nucleotide ribosomal RNA is filed under the name uncultured bacterium. RNAcentral's name for it is "partial 16S ribosomal RNA". It matches the Rfam family "Bacterial small subunit ribosomal RNA", at positions 335 to 602 of the family's 1533-position model. The record is from RNAcentral.